RNAcentral lists this ribosomal RNA (23 nucleotides) under Tessmannia lescrauwaetii. RNAcentral's name for it is "partial 26S ribosomal RNA". The record is from RNAcentral. Lineage: Eukaryota; Viridiplantae; Streptophyta; Magnoliopsida; Fabales; Fabaceae. RNAcentral also lists the same sequence under 2 other names.
GCGACCCCAGCUCAGGCGGGGCC